UUGCUGGGGGGAUUAGUGGCGAACGGUUGAGUAACACGUGAGUAACCUGCCCUUGACUCUGGGAUAAGCACUGGAAACGGUGUCUAAUACCGGAUACGACCUUCCGCCGCAUGGUGAGGGGGUGGAAAGAAUUUCGGUCAAGGAUGGACUCGCGGCCUAUCAGCUAGUUGGUGAGGUAAUGGCUCACCAAGGCGACGACGGGUAGCCGGCCUGAGAGGGUGACCGGCCACACUGGGACUGAGACACGGCCCAGACUCCUACGGGAGGCAGCAGUGGGGAAUAUUGCACAAUGGGCGAAAGCCUGAUGCAGCAACGCCGCGUGAGGGACGAAGGCCUUCGGGUUGUAAACCUCUUUUAGUAGGGAAGAAGCGAAAGUGACGGUACCUGCAGAAAAAGCACCGGCUAACUACGUGCCAGCAGCCGCGGUAAUACGUAGGGUGCAAGCGUUGUCCGGAAUUAUUGGGCGUAAAGAGCUCGUAGGCGGUUUGUCGCGUCUGCUGUGAAAUCUGGAGGCUCAACCUCCAGCCUGCAGUGGGUACGGGCAGACUAGAGUGCGGUAGGGGAGAUUGGAAUUCCUGGUGUAGCGGUGGAAUGCGCAGAUAUCAGGAGGAACACCGAUGGCGAAG
This 626-nucleotide ribosomal RNA is filed under the name uncultured bacterium. RNAcentral describes it as "bacterial SSU rRNA". It matches the Rfam family "Bacterial small subunit ribosomal RNA", at positions 80 to 720 of the family's 1533-position model. The record is from RNAcentral.